Molecule: ribosomal RNA, 465 nt
Filed under: uncultured Arsenophonus sp.
Lineage: Bacteria; Pseudomonadati; Pseudomonadota; Gammaproteobacteria; Enterobacterales; Morganellaceae
Description: bacterial SSU rRNA
Rfam family: Bacterial small subunit ribosomal RNA
Source: RNAcentral
CCUACGGGAGGCUGCAGUGGGGAAUAUUGCACAAUGGGCGCAAGCCUGAUGCAGCCAUGCCGCGUGUAUGAAGAAGGCCUUCGGGUUGUAAAGUACUUUCAGUCGUGAGGAAGGUGUUAAGGUUAAUAACCUUAGCAAUUGACGUUAGCGACAGAAGAAGCACCGGCUAACUCCGUGCCAGCAGCCGCGGUAAUACGGAGGGUGCGAGCGUUAAUCGGAAUUACUGGGCGUAAAGGGCACGCAGGCGGUUAAAUUAGUUUGAUGGGAAAUCCCCCGGCUUUACCUGGGGAUGGGCAUUCAGGCUGGUUUGCUUGGGUCUUUGAGAAGGGGGUAGAAUUCCAUGUGUAGCGGUUGAAUGCGUAGAGAUUUGGGGGAAUUCCGGUUGCCAAGGCGGCCCACCGGGACAAAGACGAACCGCAUUUGCGAAAGCGUUGGGAGCAAACAGGAUUAGAUACCCGGGUAGUC